UACGGGAGGUGCAAGCGUUGUUCGGAGUGACUGGGCGUAAAGCGCACGUAGGUGGGCUUGUAAGUCGAAUGUGAAAUCCCCGGGCUCAACCUGGGAAUGGCAUUGGAAACUAGCGGGCUGGAGUGUGGCAGAGGGGGGUGGAAUUCCACGUGUAGCAGUGAAAUGCGUAGAGAUGUGGAGGAACACCGAUGGCGAAGGCAGCCCCCUGGGCUAACACUGACGCUCAUGCACGAAAGCGUGGGGAGCAAACAGG
Molecule: ribosomal RNA, 253 nt
Filed under: uncultured bacterium
Lineage: Bacteria
Description: partial 16S ribosomal RNA
Rfam family: Bacterial small subunit ribosomal RNA
Source: RNAcentral